Molecule: ribosomal RNA, 252 nt
Filed under: uncultured bacterium
Lineage: Bacteria
Description: partial 16S ribosomal RNA
Rfam family: Bacterial small subunit ribosomal RNA
Source: RNAcentral
UACGUAGGGUGCAAGCAUUAAUCGGAUUUAUUGGGCGUAAAGGGCGCGUAGGCGGAAGUGCCAGUCAGAUGUGAAAGCCCGGGGCUCAACCCCGGAACAGCAUUUGAAACUACAUUUCUAGAGGGUAGGCGGAGAAAACGGAAUUCCACAAGUAGCGGUGAAAUGCGUAGAUAUGUGGAAGAACACCAGUGGCGAAGGCGGUUUUCUAGCUUAUACCUGACGCUGAGGCGCGAAAGCAAGGGGAGCAAACAG